RNAcentral lists this transfer RNA (612 nucleotides) under uncultured Prochlorococcus sp. RNAcentral's name for it is "partial contains 16S ribosomal RNA, 16S-23S ribosomal RNA intergenic spacer, and 23S ribosomal RNA". The stretch from base 226 to 298 matches the Rfam family "tRNA". Lineage: Bacteria; Bacillati; Cyanobacteriota; Cyanophyceae; Synechococcales; Prochlorococcaceae. The record is from RNAcentral.
UGGAUCACCUCCUAACAGGGAGACAACAAAAUGUUAAAUAUUAAUUUUGUCACCUUAGGUCGAUCGGUAUCUCACAUUCUUAAAUUUAUUAAGGAUUUCAUUUCCUAAGUUUUUCUAGGUCACACCCAUUAUUUUUCCUGGGCCAUUAGCUCAGGUGGUUAGAGCGCACCCCUGAUAAGGGUGAGGUCCCUGGUUCAAGUCCAGGAUGGCCCAUAUCUCUAUGUUGGGGGUAUAGCUCAGUUGGUAGAGCGCCUGCUUUGCAAGCAGGAUGUCAGCGGUUCGAGUCCGCUUACCUCCACUGAUUACCACCUCUUCCAUAAUUUACAGAAGGAAAAUAACUGUAGGUGUGAUCAAAUUCUGAACGAAUCUAGCUUCCUAAUCAAAUUUAUUAUGAUGCUGGACUCAUUGAAUUAAUUUCAUUGUUUUCAGAGAACCUUGACAACUGCAUAGAUUAUUUUUAAAGACAAUAAGCAUCUUUAAUGAUGCAGAUUUAUUAUUUGUGCGAAUGCAUUAAAUAACAAUUCUAUUAAGCUGAUGCUUCAAUUUUUGAAGUUAUUGGUCAAGCUACAAAGGGCUCACGGAGGAUACCUAGGCACACAGAGGCGAUGAAGG